Non-coding RNA from Schizosaccharomyces pombe (fission yeast), 609 nucleotides. The record is from the annotation of a GenBank genome assembly. Lineage: Eukaryota; Fungi; Ascomycota; Schizosaccharomycetes; Schizosaccharomycetales; Schizosaccharomycetaceae.
CUCCUACUGUUCAUUUCGUUUCACUAUUUAGUAAAUAUCUGUAAUGAGAAUAAACAGUCAAGGAUUUUCUUUCAUAAGACGUUCGUUGAUUCAUAACUGAAGAAUGAAGGGAGGGUACUUAGAAACUAAUGAACUGCCGUCAAACAUAUUUAAUUAUAAAAUCGCCAAUUGCAUUGUAGUAGUUUAGUGCAACAAUACCAUACACAAAGCUCUCACGAGAGUUUACAUUAUAUUACGACUACCAUUACCAACUAAAUCUGUCUCAUUUUCAUAAUAACAAGUAAAUCCAACUAUUAUAACAUUGGCUAAAAUAUUGCUUAAUGUUUUUUAAAGAUAGUCAAGUAACAGGAAGUAGAUAAACACGUUUACUAAAAGAUUGGUAUAAAGUUGAAUGCUGUAAAGGCUUUCGGAGUAAAUACCAUCAAUUUCACUAACACUAGCAGGUAGAAUCCCUCUGUUAACUCGUAAAAAUCGUGCAUACUAAUUCAAAUAUUUAGCUGUAAAUAUCCUUCAUGGACAUGUAAUGAUAUUAGGAGCUAAUGAAUUUGCUAAUGCUUGUUGUCCGACGUAUAUAGCUAACUCAUACGCUCUAUCAGAUGGGUUCCGUAU